RNAcentral lists this ribosomal RNA (501 nucleotides) under uncultured bacterium. RNAcentral describes it as "partial 16S ribosomal RNA". It matches the Rfam family "Bacterial small subunit ribosomal RNA", at positions 30 to 523 of the family's 1533-position model. The record is from RNAcentral.
AUUGAACGCUGGCGGCAGGCUUAACACAUGCAAGUCGAGCGGGGGAAGGUAGCUUGCUACUGGACCUAGCGGCGGACGGGUGAGUAAUGCUUAGGAAUCUGCCUAUUAGUGGGGGACAACAUCUCGAAAGGGAUGCUAAUACCGCAUACGUCCUACGGGAGAAAGCAGGGGAUCUUCGGACCUUGCGCUAAUAGAUGAGCCUAAGUCGGAUUAGCUAGUUGGUGGGGUAAAGGCCUACCAAGGGGACGAUCUGUAGCGGGUCAGAGAGGAUGAUCCGCCACACUGGGACUGAGACACGGCCCAGACUCCUACGGGAGGCAGCAGUGGGGAAUAUUGGACAAUGGGGGGAACCCUGAUCCAGCCAUGCCGCGUGUGUGAAGAAGGCCUUAUGGUUGUAAAGCACUUUAAGCGAGGAGGAGGCUACUUUAGUUAAUACCUAGGGAUAGUGGACGUUACUCGCAGAAUAAGCACCGGCUAACUCUGUGCCAGCCGCCGCCGUAA